This is an RNA transcript of Durio zibethinus, 645 nucleotides long. It is a transcript of the gene named transcription initiation factor IIA subunit 2, with no coding region annotated. NCBI's taxonomy places the organism in Eukaryota, Viridiplantae, Streptophyta, Magnoliopsida, Malvales, Malvaceae. The record is from RefSeq and is a predicted model, not a curated record.
GCCCCAAAUCUUCUCCGCCCAAAAAAAAAAAAAAAAAUCUCUUUCACAAAACUGAACGUUAAAUUCCUCGCACCGUCAAAGCUCCACAAUUUCCAAACAUCCACAAUCCUCCUUAACGUCGCCUCCAAAUUUCAUCGGGUGAAUAAUGGCGACGUUUGAGCUUUACCGGAAGUCAACGAUCGGGAUGUGCUUGACGGAGACUUUAGACGAGAUGGUUUCAAACGGCACUCUCAGCCCUGAGCUCGCUAUUCAGGUUCUCGUCCAGUUCGAUAAGUCUAUGACUGAAGGCCUGGAAAGUCAAGUGAAGAGCAAGGUUAGCAUUCAGGGACAUCUUCACACCUAUAGAUUCUGCGACAAUGUGUGGACAUUCAUCUUACAUAAUGCUUCAUUUAAGAAUGAGGAUUCUCAGGAGACAGUUGGUCGGGUGAAAAUAGUAGCAUGUGACUCAAAGCUACUAUCACAAUGAAUUGUCAAUCAAUGUUGUCUGAUGUUAAUGGAAUGGGAUGGUUGACUGAGACUGGACAUAUAUUGACAAAAUGAUGGAACCUCUGUAUUUAUGACGAGAAUGGUUUCUAUUCCUCUGUCGAUUUAUUUCAGCCUUGCACCAGCUUGAAUAGGAUACGGCGGUGUUUGAAGUCAGUUGCU